Molecule: small RNA, 98 nt
Filed under: Marmota monax (woodchuck)
Lineage: Eukaryota; Metazoa; Chordata; Mammalia; Rodentia; Sciuridae
Source: RNAcentral
GCCAGGCAUGGUGGUGCAUGCCUGUAAUCCCAGCAACUGGAGAGGCUGAGGCAGGAGGAUCACAAGUUCCUAAACAACUCAGCAAGACUCUGUCUCUA